This 1378-nucleotide long non-coding RNA is filed under the name Cricetulus griseus (Chinese hamster). Its description in RNAcentral is "lncRNA (ENSCGRG00015039731.1)". The record is from RNAcentral. Lineage: Eukaryota; Metazoa; Chordata; Mammalia; Rodentia; Cricetidae.
UCCAGACAAAAGCCUGGGCAACGGCUCUCUGAAAAGGAUUCCAACAACAUGGGGAAUCAUCCCAAGAGCUGACAUGGAAUUAUAUGAAAUUUUAAAGCUUGUGAAGAGCAAAGGAAAUAAUCAGCAGUGAAGAGACAGCAACCAGGAUGGGAGAAAAUCUUGACCAACGCCACACCUGGCAGGAACCACAACACUCACUGGCAGAGGACAUUUAUCAUCUACAGGGCCUGGGCUCAAACCCCAGCCAAAAUAACAAUCAUCACCCAAGCUCUGAAAAGGGAGAGUGUAAAACUCCUAGAGAAGAAGAGGGGAAAGCAUCACGGCAUUAGUGGAUGUGGUCUCGUAGGCAGGACCCCAAAACACAGACAACAGGAACAGUUGUGACUACAGCAAACACAGACAACAGGAACAGUUGUGACUACAGCAAACUAAAAGGCUGCUGUUCAGCAAGUAAACAGCCACCAGAGUGAGAGUCAGCCUGCAAGAGGAGGAAGCCUUUUCAAGUUCAUUGGUGAAGUGUUAACCUACAAAACAAACAGUUCCAAUAAAUUAAUAAAUUUGAAAAUGAGUAACCUGAUUUUAAAGAUGACAAAGAAACAUUUCUCCAAAGGAAAUAAAUAAAGUGGCCAACAAGCAUGUGGGGAAAAAAAUGGCUAGCAUCACUGAUCUUUUGUGAAAUGCAAAUCAAAACCACAAAGAGAUAUUGCCUUCCUUCGGCUUUCAGGAUGCUACCAUCAAAGGGGGAGAAAGCUGCACUGGAACCUGAGAUCUGCCAACAUCUGCCUUUCGAAGUUGACCUGCUGUACCAUCAGUCUCUGCACCUUCUGGCUCUGGCUACAGAAUGCCAUGGUGGAAGUCACAAAGACCACACGAGGGGGAAGGUCGCCUCACACAUCGACCUGCAGAACUACUUUAAGAUUCUUCUUUGAAGUCUCUACAGGCUAACUUCACAACAGAUGAUAAUGUGAUGAAAUUCUUGACUCUCAACUGGUGAAGGACUUCAACUCCAGGCUAGCACCCUUCCCAUGGCCCCUUAAACGCCCUUCUUCCAUCCUGCCUCAGAGUGACCCAGGAAGCCAAACUCUCGGAGUUUUACUCCGGGUUUCCUUCCCCUACUGGACACCAAUGCGAAUAAGCAAAAAGAAAAAAAAAUGUUUUCUAUGUGUUUUAAUAUUUCACAGUGAACAUCGCAAAGCCAUUAUAAACUUAGAGGACUCCAUGUCUAAGAACCACGACCCGCAGGCAAGAUGCUUCAUCCGCCUAAGGUGCUUCCUGAGGACCUGAAUUUGAUCCCUGGGACCCACCUCGUGGGAGGAGAGAGCUAGAGAACUACUGCAGGUGAUUCUUGGUCCACACAGGAGAUGGGGCACAGUGUCCC